This 493-nucleotide long non-coding RNA is filed under the name Homo sapiens (human). RNAcentral describes it as "HSALNT0194228". Lineage: Eukaryota; Metazoa; Chordata; Mammalia; Primates; Hominidae. The record is from RNAcentral.
GCCAGUACGGAUGGUCUGGCAACAUGGAGAGAAUCAUGAAAGCACAAGCGUACCAAACGGGCAAGGACAUCUCUACAAAUUACUAUGCGAGUCAGAAGAAAACAUUUGAAAUUAAUCCCAGACACCCGCUGAUCAGAGACAUGCUUCGACGAAUUAAGGUAGUAUUAAAGCAGUCCUCUUGCUUGUCUUUUAAUUUGAGUACUUUGUAUCUUUUAAUAUUAAUCUAGUGCAUCUUCUUGCAUUUCAGGAAGAUGAAGAUGAUAAAACAGUUUUGGAUCUUGCUGUGGUUUUGUUUGAAACAGCAACGCUUCGGUCAGGGUAUCUUUUACCAGACACUAAAGCAUAUGGAGAUAGAAUAGAAAGAAUGCUUCGCCUCAGUUUGAACAUUGACCCUGAUGCAAAGGUGGAAGAAGAGCCCGAAGAAGAACCUGAAGAGACAGCAGAAGACACAACAGAAGACACAGAGCAAGACGAAGAUGAAGAAAUGGAUGUG